ACGGAAGGCAGCAGUGAGGAAUAUUGGUCAAUGGGCGAGAGCCUGAACCAGCCAAGUCGCGUGAAGGAUGAAGGUUCUAUGGAUUGUAAACUUCUUUUAUUCGAGGGUAAAGUGACGGACGUGUCCGUUAUUGCAAGUAUCGAAUGAAUAAGCAUCGGCUAACUCCGUGCCAGCAGCCGCGGUAAUACGGAGGAUGCGAGCGUUAUCCGGAUUUAUUGGGUUUAAAGGGUGCGUAGGCGGGCGAUUAAGUCAGCGGUGAAAGCGUGUGGCUCAACCAUACCAAGCCGUUGAAACUGGUUGUCUUGAGUGUAAACGAGGUAGGCGGAAUGUGACGUGUAGCGGUGAAAUGCUUAGAUAUGUCACAGAACCCCGAUUGCGAAGGCAGCUUACCAGCAUACGACUGACGCUGAGGCACGAAAGUGUGGGGAUCAAACAGGAUUAGAUACCCUGGUA
RNAcentral lists this ribosomal RNA (453 nucleotides) under uncultured Porphyromonadaceae bacterium. RNAcentral's name for it is "partial 16S ribosomal RNA". It matches the Rfam family "Bacterial small subunit ribosomal RNA", at positions 341 to 792 of the family's 1533-position model. Lineage: Bacteria; Pseudomonadati; Bacteroidota; Bacteroidia; Bacteroidales; Porphyromonadaceae. The record is from RNAcentral.